This 253-nucleotide ribosomal RNA is filed under the name uncultured bacterium. RNAcentral describes it as "partial 16S ribosomal RNA". It matches the Rfam family "Bacterial small subunit ribosomal RNA", at positions 524 to 776 of the family's 1533-position model. The record is from RNAcentral.
UACAGAGGGUGCAAGCGUUAAUCGGAAUUACUGGGCGUAAAGCGCGCGUAGGUGGUUCGUUAAGUUGGAUGUGAAAGCCCCGGGCUCAACCUGGGAACUGCAUCCAAAACUGGCGAGCUAGAGUACGGUAGAGGGUGGUGGAAUUUCCUGUGUAGCGGUGAAAUGCGUAGAUAUAGGAAGGAACACCAGUGGCGAAGGCGACCACCUGGACUGAUACUGACACUGAGGUGCGAAAGCUAGGGGAGCGAACGGG